This 21-nucleotide non-coding RNA is filed under the name Arabidopsis thaliana (thale cress). Lineage: Eukaryota; Viridiplantae; Streptophyta; Magnoliopsida; Brassicales; Brassicaceae. The record is from RNAcentral.
UAUAGUUAGCUUUUCAGUGAG